This 925-nucleotide long non-coding RNA is filed under the name Canis lupus familiaris (dog). Its description in RNAcentral is "lncRNA (ENSCAFG00030020012.1)". The record is from RNAcentral. Lineage: Eukaryota; Metazoa; Chordata; Mammalia; Carnivora; Canidae.
AUGCAACGUAGGUUGUUGAAUUUCUUCUGGAAAAGGGAGCAGAUAUCACUCUUUGUAAUUACAGCAAUCAAACUGCAGUUCAUGUGGCUAAUUGUGAUGUGCAUAGACAACUAUUGGCCAUCAGUGAAAUCCAAGCCCCCCAAAUGCAACUUCUACAAAGCUCAUGGCAAGGCGAUCUUGAACAACUUCAACACUUGCUGGUCAGUUAAAUUGAUGUUUGCUUCUGCCUUUGGAUAGGUGGAUGGGUAAAUGGUAAGAAAGGCAUAGACUACAUAUGGCUUCUUUUAAAGAAAAAUAAAUUCAUUUCAAAUGCAGUCCCAGAAAGUUUCAGGAAGAAAAUAGGAGAAAGAAACAGGAUCAAACAGGAUACUGGGGUGGAAAACAGGAUAAUAAAAGAGCACAGCAGCAGUCUAUUUCCACCUUCCUCCAGCUGGAUGCUAUAAGUCACGCAGCACCCACGGGAAAUGAGAUGCUCCCAGAAUGCCCCCAGAGAACUGCUGUCAACUUGCUCAGAGGAGUUCCCUUGACAUCAUUGCCAUUUGUACAAUUGCUGUUUAGAUCCCUUUGGACCAGCUGCACUUAUUAUCUUUAUCCUGAAAAGGGAAUCAGAGAGCCUAUGCUUUGCAGAUUUAGUUGUAGCUAAAGGAGUAAAGAGGACAUGUUUUUUAAAUGCUUUCUUCUUAAGGUAUCCAUCUUCUUGUUUAGAUCUUCUAGCCACAGAAAAGCUUUCCCAAAGUAACUUACAAAACCAUAUGCAUAAAUAAGGACUUUAAUUAUUGGUGACCGGCAACUGUCUACUCUUGGUAUUUACCUUCAGAAAUGCUAUCAGAUCACAUGACCUUCCAACCGAAAGAAAAUCAAUUGCUGCUAGGAAACAGUUUCUUCCAUUCCUUUAUGGUAGAGACACAAACAAAUAAAAGUGAAC